UACGAAUGGAGCGAGCGUUGUUCGGAAUCACUGGGCGUAAAGCGUGCGCAGGCGGUCUUGAAAGUCAGAAGUGAAAGCCCAGGGCUUAACCCUGGAAUUGCUUUUGAAACUCCAAGACUAGAGUACUGGAGGGGUUGGCGGAAUUUCGAGUGUAGCAGUGAAAUGCGUAGAUAUUCGAAGGAACACCGAUGGCGUAGGCAGCCAACUGGACAGUAACUGACGCUCAUGCACGAAAGCGUGGGGAUCAAACAGG
Molecule: ribosomal RNA, 253 nt
Filed under: uncultured bacterium
Lineage: Bacteria
Description: partial 16S ribosomal RNA
Rfam family: Bacterial small subunit ribosomal RNA
Source: RNAcentral